CUGGCGGCAGGCCUAACACAUGCAAGUCGAACGGUAACAGGAAGAAGCUUGCUUCUUUGCUGACGAGUGGCGGACGGGUGAGUAAUGUCUGGGAAACUGCCUGAUGGAGGGGGAUAACUACUGGAAACGGUAGCUAAUACCGCAUAACGUCGCAAGACCAAAGAGGGGGACCUUCGGGCCUCUUGCCAUCGGAUGUGCCCAGAUGGGAUUAGCUUGUUGGUGGGGUAACGGCUCACCAAGGCGACGAUCCCUAGCUGGUCUGAGAGGAUGACCAGCCACACUGGAACUGAGACACGGUCCAGACUCCUACGGGAGGCAGCAGUGGGGAAUAUUGCACAAUGGGCGCAAGCCUGAUGCAGCCAUGCCGCGUGUAUGAAGAAGGCCUUCGGGUUGUAAAGUACUUUCAGCGGGGAGGAAGGGAGUAAAGUUAAUACCUUUGCUCAUUGACGUUACCCGCAGAAGAAGCACCGGCUAACUCCGUGCCAGCAGCCGCGGUAAUACGGAGGGUGCAAGCGUUAAUCGGAAUUACUGGGCGUAAAGCGCACGCAGGCGGUUUGUUAAGUCAGAUGUGAAAUCCCCGGGCUCAACCUGGGAACUGCAUCUGAUACUGGCAAGCUUGAGUCUCGUAGAGGGGGGUAGAAUUCCAGGUGUAGCGGUGAAAUGCGUAGAGAUCUGGAGGAAUACCGGUGGCGAAGGCGGCCCCCUGGACGAAGACUGACGCUCAGGUGCGAAAGCGUGGGGAGCAAACAGGAUUAGAUACCCUGGUAGUCCACGCCGUAAACGAUGUCGACUUGGAGGUUGUGCCCUUGAGGCGUGGCUUCCGGAGCUAACGCGUUAAGUCGACCGCCUGGGGAGUACGGCCGCAAGGUUAAAACUCAAAUGAAUUGACGGGGGCCCGCACAAGCGGUGGAGCAUGUGGUUUAAUUCGAUGCAACGCGAAGAACCUUACCUGGUCUUGACAUCCACAGAACUUUCCAGAGAUGGAUUGGUGCCUUCGGGAACUGUGAGACAGGUGCUGCAUGGCUGUCGUCAGCUCGUGUUGUGAAAUGUUGGGUUAAGUCCCGCAACGAGCGCAACCCUUAUCCUUUGUUGCCAGCGGUCCGGCCGGGAACUCAAAGGAGACUGCCAGUGAUAAACUGGAGGAAGGUGGGGAUGACGUCAAGUCAUCAUGGCCCUUACGACCAGGGCUACACACGUGCUACAAUGGCGCAUACAAAGAGAAGCGACCUCGCGAGAGCAAGCGGACCUCAUAAAGUGCGUCGUAGUCCGGAUUGGAGUCUGCAACUCGACUCCAUGAAGUCGGAAUCGCUAGUAAUCGUGGAUCAGAAUGCCACGGUGAAUACGUUCCCGGGCCUUGUACACACCGCCCGUCACACCAUGGGAGUGGGUUGCAAAAGAAGUAGGUAGCUUAACCUUCGGGAGGGCGCUUACCACUUUGUGAUUCAUGACUGGGGUGAAGUCGUAACAAGGUAACCGUAGGGGAACCUGCGGUUGGAUCACCUCCUU
This 1506-nucleotide ribosomal RNA is filed under the name Escherichia coli. Its description in RNAcentral is "bacterial SSU rRNA". It matches the Rfam family "Bacterial small subunit ribosomal RNA". Lineage: Bacteria; Pseudomonadati; Pseudomonadota; Gammaproteobacteria; Enterobacterales; Enterobacteriaceae. The record is from RNAcentral.